RNAcentral lists this ribosomal RNA (590 nucleotides) under uncultured bacterium. Its description in RNAcentral is "bacterial SSU rRNA". It matches the Rfam family "Bacterial small subunit ribosomal RNA", at positions 338 to 948 of the family's 1533-position model. The record is from RNAcentral.
CCUACGGGAGGCAGCAGUGGGGAAUCUUGCGCAAUGGGCGAAAGCCUGACGCAGCAACGCCGCGUGCGGGAAGAAGGCUUUCGGGCUGUAAACCGCUUUCAGCAGGAACGAAAAUGACGGUACCUGCAGAAGAAGGAGCGGCCAACUAUGUGCCAGCAGCCGCGGUGAUACAUAGGCUUCAAGCGUUGUCCGGAUUUAUUGGGCGUAAAGAGUUCGUAGGCGGUCGAGUAAGUCGGGUGUGAAAAUUCUGGGCUCAACCCAGAGACGCCACCCGAUACUGCUUAACUUGAGUUCGAUAGGGGAGUGGGGAAUUCCUAGUGUAGCGGUGAAAUGCGCAGAUAUUAGGAGGAACACCGGUGGCGAAGGCGCCACUCUGGAUCGAUACUGACGCUGAGGAACGAAAGCAUGGGUAGCAAACAGGAUUAGAUACCCUGGUAGUCCAUGCCGUAAACGGUGGGCACUAGGUGUGGGAUUCUAUUAACGAAUUCCGNGCCGUCGCUAACGCAUUAAGUGCCCCGCCUGGGGAGUACGGUCGCAAGCUAAAACUCAAAGGAAUUGACGGNUGAGAGNGCGAGACGACACGAGGAGAG